AACACAGUCAGAGACAAUAGAAGGAAACAUUAGAGAGAAACAUAGUAGAGGAAAGAACAUAGGAGUCAAAGUAGUAACAGGUAGGAAUCACAGUAAGACUAAUACAGUAAGAACACCACAUAAAUUUACAAUAGAACAAAUAAAAUCAAAGAAACCCUAAAUCGGAGAAGAUGAAUAGUUUUGAAAGCGAACUUUCGUAAGAGAUUUAAGGAAUCAUUUUGAAAACCUUAAAACAAGCAUGGAUCUAGAGCGGAUCUAAAGAAAUAUAGGAAAACCUCAAAGGGCUAAGGUUUCAAAAGAACACUAGAAGUGAGAAAGGCCUGGGAAAUGGUCUGCUCUGAGCAAGGUGAGCCAAAGAUAGGCUCAUAGGACCAGGACAUGCCAGAGAUGGCCGUGAAUCUUGAAUCGGUGAUGAUCUCAAUGAAAACCUUCAAGUUCAGACCUUGAAUUUUUCCAGUAGCAGGUGUACAAGAGCACAUAGAGGUGAGUACAGGCCACCCAGGGCCUAGGGAUGCCAUGGAUUUCGGUGAAACAUAGUGGAAAACAGUGGGAGAAGGCUUGGGUUUUGGAGGGGCUAGAGAUAGGUUGAGAGAAUAAGGGUUUGAGGGCGGCUGUU
RNAcentral lists this long non-coding RNA (616 nucleotides) under Nicotiana benthamiana. RNAcentral's name for it is "long non-coding RNA (NBEN_LNC014163)". Lineage: Eukaryota; Viridiplantae; Streptophyta; Magnoliopsida; Solanales; Solanaceae. The record is from RNAcentral.